Molecule: ribosomal RNA, 490 nt
Filed under: uncultured bacterium
Lineage: Bacteria
Description: partial 16S ribosomal RNA
Rfam family: Bacterial small subunit ribosomal RNA
Source: RNAcentral
AUUGAACGCUGGCGGCAGGCCUAACACAUGCAAGUCGAACGGUAACAGGAAGCAGCUUGCUGCUUUGCUGACGAGUGGCGGACGGGUGAGUAAUGUCUGGGAAACUGCCCGAUGGAGGGGGAUAACUACUGGAAACGGUAGCUAAUACCGCAUAACGUCGCAAGACCAAAGAGGGGGACCUUAGGGCCUCUUGCCAUCGGAUGUGCCCAGAUGGGAUUAGCUAGUAGGUGGGGUAACGGCUCACCUAGGCGACGAUCCCUAGCUGGUCUGAGAGGAUGACCAGCCACACUGGAACUGCGACACGGUCCAGACUCCUACGGGAGGCAGCAGUGGGGAAUAUUGCACAAUGGGCGCAAGCCUGAUGCAGCCAUGCCGCGUGUAUGAAGAAGGCCUUCGGGUUGUAAAGUACUUUCAGCGGGGAGGAAGGGAGUAAAGUUAAUACCUUGGCUCAUUGACGUUACCCGCAGAAGAAGCACCGGCUAACUCCGUG